GCCUGGGUGGCUCAGUCAGUUAAGCACCUGACUCUUGGUUUCAGCUCAGGUCAUGAUCUCACAUUUCAUGGGUUCGAGCCCCAUAUCGGGCU
This 92-nucleotide transfer RNA is filed under the name Felis catus (domestic cat). It matches the Rfam family "tRNA". From Rfam's summary of the family: Transfer RNA (tRNA) molecules are approximately 80 nucleotides in length. Their secondary structure includes four short double-helical elements and three loops (D, anti-codon, and T loops). Lineage: Eukaryota; Metazoa; Chordata; Mammalia; Carnivora; Felidae. The record is from Rfam by way of RNAcentral.